AAUAAUAUGUAACUUUUAUAUUGACAUGCAAAAUGUAUAGUUUAAUUGGCAGCAAUUGUUGGUUCACAUGGUAAAUUUAAUUAAUAUUCAUUAAUGGCCUUCUUUUUUCUAGACAUCACUGGAUCCAUUUUUGUCAUUUUUAUGAAUUUUCACUAUUUAAUGAAAUAUUUUAUUCACUAUUGAAAGCAAUAUGCCUGUCAACUAUGAGGUAGCGAGUUUAAAUCAUGCACAUGGUAAUUGUAAAUUUUCCUACUGAUGUAUGUGGUUUUCUACAGGCACUCAGAUUUCAGCCAACAAUAAAAACUGGCCGCUAUAAAAUAUCCAAUAGUGCUGAAAGUGGUGUAAAACACUGAUCAACCAAUCAUCAAUCACAUUUUUAUUCAAUAUUUUAUGUAUUCAUCAUUUAUGAAGUUAAACAAAGCACCCACCUAGAGUUUGUGAUGUCCACCUUAUCCCCAUGUCUUUCAAAACACCAAACAUUCCUUCCAUUGUUUAGAUCAGCUUCGCUAGCCAAGGUUUAUGAUCCAUUCCCUUUCUCUUCAGGAGGAAAGAAGGGGACUAGAUCGUAACCCUUAGCUAGCAAAGAUGUGUUUAGACAUAUUAUUAUGUUGAUUGAGACAUUUAAAUUUGUACACCAAAUUGUUUAUUUUUGAUAAUGUCUUUGUACACCCUUUAGAGUUUGUUAAUUGUUAAAUAUCAAUAAAUUUUAUCAUAAAACAG
Molecule: long non-coding RNA, 720 nt
Filed under: Mytilus galloprovincialis (Mediterranean mussel)
Lineage: Eukaryota; Metazoa; Mollusca; Bivalvia; Mytilida; Mytilidae
Source: RNAcentral